This 107-nucleotide small nucleolar RNA is filed under the name Olea europaea subsp. europaea. RNAcentral describes it as "Plant small nucleolar RNA R71". It matches the Rfam family "Plant small nucleolar RNA R71". Rfam says of the family: R71 is a member of the C/D box family of snoRNAs containing the C (UGAUGA) and D (CUGA) box motifs. Lineage: Eukaryota; Viridiplantae; Streptophyta; Magnoliopsida; Lamiales; Oleaceae. The record is from Rfam by way of RNAcentral.
UAUCCAUGGUGGGGGCAAAGGGUUUGUAACUCUUGGUAUCUCUCCCAAACUUGGUAUAAGGUUUUACUAUCCUUUUAGGAAAAUGAGAAAAUUUGCUUCUUAAGGGC